Long non-coding RNA from Sinocyclocheilus rhinocerous, 417 nucleotides. RefSeq lists it as uncharacterized. Lineage: Eukaryota; Metazoa; Chordata; Actinopteri; Cypriniformes; Cyprinidae. The transcript has 2 exons. The record is from RefSeq and is a predicted model, not a curated record.
UUCUCCUUUGAGUCUGCCUCCUACGCCACCAUUAAGAAGUUCAACGUUACUUACAGUGCGACAACACUGAACUCAAUCCAGGUGAUUUUCAACUGUGGCCACAUGAUUAAAGUGGGUAACUCAGCAGGAACGAAGAAUCAAGAAAUUGUGUUCGAUGACUAUGACAAAAUAAUCUCUGCAAAACUGUGGCCAAAUAUGACUGGUAACAGAUGUGGGGGGUUUGAGUUUGUGGUUGCAAAAUGCAAUGGAAACAUAACAACAACAUUAUCUGUCAAGUGUCAGCAACUGGGUGAGCCUGUGUGUUUGGAUGUGAAGUCUGGAAGGAUUUAUGGCAUUACAGGCAGAAGUGGAGAUGAAAUGGAUGCUCUGGGCUUCUACUUCAUUUAGUCUACAGCUAUGCAUACAUACAGGUUGCUG